UUUUGUGGGGUGUUCGAGUGGCGAACGGGUGAGUAACACGUGAGUAACCUGCCCUUGACUUUGGGAUAACUUCAGGAAACUGGGGCUAAUACCGGAUAGGAGCUCCUGCUGCAUGGUGGGGGUUGGAAAGUUUCGGCGGUUGGGGAUGGACUCGCGGCUUAUCAGCUUGUUGGUGGGGUAGUGGCUUACCAAGGCUUUGACGGGUAGCCGGCCUGAGAGGGUGACCGGCCACAUUGGGACUGAGAUACGGCCCAG
RNAcentral lists this ribosomal RNA (255 nucleotides) under uncultured Actinomycetales bacterium. RNAcentral describes it as "partial 16S ribosomal RNA". It matches the Rfam family "Bacterial small subunit ribosomal RNA", at positions 78 to 334 of the family's 1533-position model. Lineage: Bacteria; Bacillati; Actinomycetota; Actinomycetes; Actinomycetales. The record is from RNAcentral.